AGGCAGCAGUUGGGAAUCUUCCGCAAUGGGCGAAAGCCUGACGGAGCGACGCCGCGUGAGCGAAGAAGGCCUUCGGGUCGUAAAGCUCUGUUGUGAGGGACGAAGGAGCGCCGUUCGAAGAGGGCGGCGCGGUGACGGUACCUCACGAGGAAGCCCCGGCUAACUACGUGCCAGCAGCCGCGGUAAUACGUAGGGGGCGAGCGUUGUCCGGAAUUAUUGGGCGUAAAGCGCGCGCAGGCGGUCUCUUAAGUCUGAUGUGAAAGCCCACGGCUCAACCGUGGGGGGUCAUUGGAAACUGGGGGACUUGAGUGCAGGAGAGGAGAGCGGAAUUCCACGUGUAGCGGUGAAAUGCGUAGAGAUGUGGAGGAACACCAGUGGCGAAGGCGGCUCUCUGGCCUGCAACUGACGCUGAGGCGCGAAAGCGUGGGGAGCAAACAGGAUUAGAUACCCUAGUAGUCC
RNAcentral lists this ribosomal RNA (459 nucleotides) under uncultured bacterium. RNAcentral's name for it is "bacterial SSU rRNA". It matches the Rfam family "Bacterial small subunit ribosomal RNA", at positions 346 to 796 of the family's 1533-position model. The record is from RNAcentral.